GGUAGGAACUUCAGGACCGGUCAAGGUUCAGCAGCAUGUAUAAUGGAAAAUACGCUUGUCUGAAGCUCUUUUUUUUCCAGGUGCAUUGCAUCUUCCUGGAAUUCCUGGCUUUAUUGAAGAUGGAACCUUGUUUUCUUCACCAGCGUUGCUGUAUGCUGUUUUCCCCACAGCUGACGG
Long non-coding RNA from Gymnogyps californianus (California condor), 177 nucleotides. RefSeq lists it as uncharacterized. Lineage: Eukaryota; Metazoa; Chordata; Aves; Accipitriformes; Cathartidae. The transcript has 3 exons. The record is from RefSeq and is a predicted model, not a curated record.